CCCGCACCCGCUCGCCGAAACCCUAGCCGCCGCCGCCCCCGCACCUUGGCCGACCCUUAGCCCGUCGAUGGCGAGGAGCCCUCAGCCCGUCGCCUGCCUUUACCGACAAAUCACGCGACCGCGUGCCCACCAAAUCCCAAAUCUCACUGUCUCCGCCCUCUCCCCGUCCCCUCCACCAAGAUCGCACCAACUACCUCGAUGGCCGCCGCCGCACCGCCGCACGCCGCGGCACUCCUGGCCGCCCUCGCCCUCGCCCUUGCCCUGCUCGCGCUCGCGCCUCCGGCGGUGGCCGAGAUCCGGUCGAUGGCGAUCCGGGCCGACCCGCGCACUAUGAUCCCGUGCGGUGCGGGAGAGCGGCACGGCGGCGGAGAAACCUCGGCGACCAGAUGACGGCGCAGGUUGACUCCGGUCCGGCGUGGUGAAUCUGCAGCGGCGGUCAGAUCAAGGCAAGGAUGGGUCGGAAAGCUGGGCUGUACAUAAACUCAAAGAAGUUUGGCGGCGUCGUUAAGCCGUACAUGCUGGAGAUGACGGCCUUCCUCAACUGCCUCGCCUUGAACAAGCAGAUCGAUCAAAGUAAUUCCAUAUCUAGCGAUGAUUAUCUCAGCACCAAUUGGCAGUGAGAGGCAGAAGGGGAAUGCUGACACCGCGUUCCAUGCUCCUUCAGACAUGGAGUCCAGGCGCGCAUGGCUCCGUCGCCCCGCGCGCUCCAUUGGAGGAGCCCCCGCCCCGCGCGUGGCCGCCUUGGAGUUGGAGCGCUCUGGCCCCACGCCCUUGUCUGCUCUGGCGGCGGGUUCCUCCUGGCCGCAAUGAUGCUCGAGGCCGGCCGCUACACCCACAAGAAGGAUGAUGGCAUCUGCAACAGUGAGCUGCAGGGUUUUGCUUGCUCGCUUGCUUACUUUGCUGCCUGUCUGUAACCUGGUCGAUUUUGUUUUCUGCUACCAUUCUCAGUGUCAUGAAAAUGGAGAUGCAUGUCUAACUGCUUCACAUGCUUAAUCUAAUUUAAUGUGUAAAAUGGCAGGCAAAUGCUGCUGCAAAGAUAUUAGUGGUAUAUGUGCAUGCAUUUGACAAUAUGAUUUCACAUGUGUGUUUGAACAUUAACCAUACAGAUUAUGGUACUGUUAAUUUGGUGCAGUUGAAUGAGUGCUUGGUGUUGAUAUUU
Long non-coding RNA from Triticum aestivum (bread wheat), 1159 nucleotides. RefSeq lists it as uncharacterized. The transcript is spliced from 4 exons. NCBI's taxonomy places the organism in Eukaryota, Viridiplantae, Streptophyta, Magnoliopsida, Poales, Poaceae. The record is from RefSeq and is a predicted model, not a curated record.